UACGUAGGGUGCAAGCGUUGUCCGGAAUUAUUGGGCGUAAAGAGCUCGUAGGCGGUCUGUUGCGUCGGCUGUGAAAACCCGGAGCUCAACUCCGGGACUGCGGUGGAUACGGGCAGACUGGAGUUCGGCAGGGGAGACUGGAAUUCCUGGUGUAGCGGUGAAAUGCGCAGAUAUCAGGAGGAACACCGGUGGCGAAGGCGGGUCUCUGGGCCGAUACUGACGCUGAGGAGCGAAAGCGUGGGGAGCGAACAGG
RNAcentral lists this ribosomal RNA (253 nucleotides) under uncultured bacterium. RNAcentral's name for it is "partial 16S ribosomal RNA". It matches the Rfam family "Bacterial small subunit ribosomal RNA", at positions 524 to 776 of the family's 1533-position model. The record is from RNAcentral.